AAUUAAUUGGUCUUUUUUAUGCACGAUCUCCACGCAUUACUAAUAAGAGUAUUAUUAAUGCGUGGAGAUUGUGCAUAAAAAAAGACCAAUUAAUGAUUCUUGUUGAUGAGCCCAAGCAGUUCCUCUGCAAGAGCAAUCAGCAAAGCUAUCAAUCAUCCAGACUUGGUAUUACCUGAUGGUCCUGAAAGUACCUUGAUGAUCCCUUUGUUAACUCCAGAGAGACCCUUUAAAAUUGACCACUUUUAUAGCCUUAGCCAAAACAAGAUGGACCAUCAUAAUGAUGCAUUGUCCUUUUUCAUCCUUGCUUCAAUCCAGAACUCUCCAGUUCUCAAUUUUGAGUCCCAGAUUGUAGCCAAAAGUUUAUUC
RNAcentral lists this long non-coding RNA (366 nucleotides) under Androctonus crassicauda. The record is from RNAcentral. Lineage: Eukaryota; Metazoa; Arthropoda; Arachnida; Scorpiones; Buthidae.